This 253-nucleotide ribosomal RNA is filed under the name uncultured bacterium. RNAcentral's name for it is "partial 16S ribosomal RNA". It matches the Rfam family "Bacterial small subunit ribosomal RNA", at positions 524 to 776 of the family's 1533-position model. The record is from RNAcentral.
UACGUAGGGGGCAAGCGUUGUCCGGAAUCAUUGGGCGUAAAGCGCGUGUAGGCGGCCCGGUAAGUCCGCUGUGAAAGUCGGGGGCUCAACCCUCGGAUGCCGGUGGAUACUGUCGGGCUAGAGUGCGGGAGAGGCGAGUGGAAUUCCUGGUGUAGCGGUGAAAUGCGCAGAUAUCAGGAGGAACACCGGUGGCGAAGGCGGGUCUCUGGGCCGUAACUGACGCCGAGGAGCGAAAGCGUGGGGAGCGAACAGG